Molecule: ribosomal RNA, 253 nt
Filed under: uncultured bacterium
Lineage: Bacteria
Description: partial 16S ribosomal RNA
Rfam family: Bacterial small subunit ribosomal RNA
Source: RNAcentral
UACGGAGGGUGCGAGCGUUGUCCGGAUUUAUUGGGUUUAAAGGGUGCGUAGGUGGGUGACUAAGUCUGGUUUGAAAGCAGGUGGCUCAACCAUCUGAUGUGGCUGGAAACUGGUUAUCUUGAAUGGGUUGGCGGUAGCCGGAACGGGUCAUGUAGCGGUGAAAUGCAUAGAUAUGACCCAGAACACCGAUUGCGAAGGCAGGCUACUACGACUCUAUUGACACUGAGGCACGAGAGCAUGGGUAGCGAACAGG